CCCCUUCCCCAAACUCAUCUUAAAAAGGAGCUGGCAACGAGUCUGCAUAAAAGCCAUAACUGAUAUGGGAGAAAAAUUCUGGCCAAAAUACAGGUGGGGCAUAACUUGAGGCCAACUUCCUGAUACCAACCCUUAAGGACCAUAUGACUGUACUAUUUGACACCCUGUUGAUCAAGACCAAGUUAUCCCUAGAGUUCAUAAAGUCAACUUGUUCGAGAUAAGUGCCACAAGAAAACAAAGAAAAUAAAUGUCACAUGUGCAUAUGUCCA
Molecule: long non-coding RNA, 269 nt
Filed under: Elaeis guineensis (African oil palm)
Lineage: Eukaryota; Viridiplantae; Streptophyta; Magnoliopsida; Arecales; Arecaceae
Description: long non-coding RNA (EGUI_LNC019157)
Source: RNAcentral